UGGGGCAUCUCAUGCCCCAUCUAGCCAUGGCACACUUUAAACUUUAUGCCAUGUGAUAGAGGGUUGAGAGGCCUUCAUCAUAGGUGUGGAGAUCAGAUAAGAAGAAGAUUUAAAAUCUCUUCACCGAUCAAAACAAUUUUAGCCUUAUCAUUUUGUGCACUAGACUUGAUAGAGUCCUAACCAACUUGGACUCUAUAUAUGGCACCC
This 207-nucleotide long non-coding RNA is filed under the name Elaeis guineensis (African oil palm). RNAcentral describes it as "long non-coding RNA (EGUI_LNC055905)". The record is from RNAcentral. Lineage: Eukaryota; Viridiplantae; Streptophyta; Magnoliopsida; Arecales; Arecaceae.